Molecule: long non-coding RNA, 1152 nt
Filed under: Equus caballus (horse)
Lineage: Eukaryota; Metazoa; Chordata; Mammalia; Perissodactyla; Equidae
Description: lncRNA (ENSECAG00000048762.1)
Source: RNAcentral
UAUAUUCUUCGUUGUGGGUCCUUCUAGUUGUGGCAUGUGGGACGCCGCCUCAGUGUGGCUUGAUGAGCAGUGCCAUGUCCGUGCCCAGGAUUCGAACCAAUGAAACACUGGGCCUCCUGCAACAGAGCGUGCGAACUUAACCACUCGGCCACGGGGCCAGCCCCUCUAUGUCUGAAUUUUAUGUGAUUUUUCAGUCAUUAAAGGUUAACCUCCUUACACUCUGGACCACCAAGGAAGUCUGUCUCCUGAAAACACCUCUGCAUGUCUUGGAAGCACAAAUAAGGAAGGAGAUUUUGCACCACUUAAAAAACCACUCCUCUGCUCCUCAUCAUUUUGUAAUUAUUUUUUUCUAUCAUAUUUGCCUUAGAUUAUGGGAUAGAAUUUAUGACUUUUUUAUAACUUUAUAUAACCUCGAAUUUAGAUGUAAUUUAAGUAUGUUAAUCUAUUACAGAUUAUACCAUAAAUAAUGACAUUAGAACAUGUGGAUUAUACUAAUACAGUUUUUUUUCUGUAAAACACUUUAUAAUGAAUUUAUUCUGAUGCUUUCAGGGCAAUAAUAUUGUAUGUAACGAAUGUCAUAAUUUCUAGGAGUGCAGGUUUAUUUUUUGUUUUAAAAUAUGUUUCAUUCCACUGAUACAAGAGGACUAAGACAUUCCACGCCUGUGGUCAAUAAACGAAUACUAAGAGAAGGACUGCUCAAGGAACGUUAUCACAGUAGGUCUUUCAUGACAGAACUCAACUCAGAAUACCUGAGAGUUAAGCCUCACUUCAGAUCAUAGAGGUGUGAUGGAAAUCAGAUCCACAUCCGACCGAGAACAAGUGACAUUUCUAAACAUUGUUUAAGCCUUUGGAAGAGAAAGAAAAAUAAAAACAACACAAAAAGUUCAGCCUACCUUCACAGGAAAAAUAUCAGACUGAUUUCAGACUUCUCAUCUGCAACACUGCAUUCUGAAAUUAAUGGGACAAUAGCUUCAAAUCUGAGGGGAAAAAAAGAUUUACUUACCAAGCCUAAAACUUGGCCAACUGUGAGAGCCUGUUAAAGACAUACUGACAAUUAAAGCAUUUAGGUAUCUGUAUAUAUAUAUAUCCAAUCAGAAAAAAAUACUUAAAUUAUUUCAACAAAAUGAAGAAAUAAUUAAAAGAAGAUGAUGU